UAAUUGAUUGUACUCUAGCUAUCUAAAAUCAAUUAUCAAAUUAUAAAAUACCAAAGCUUACUACUUCCAUCUUGAUUCAACACAUAAUCCAUUCUACAACUAUCAAUUCAAUAAUACUUCUCUCAAUCACAAUUCUUCAUAAGCAAAUAAUAAAAACAAAGAAAACAAAGAGGUAGCACCAAGCUUACCCCGGCUUACGACUCUUAUAGUCUGGCUCUCGGCUUAUGACUCUCACAGUUUGGCUCUAGGCUUACGACUCUUAUAGUUUGGCUCGGACUUAUGACUUUUACAAUCUGGCUCUCGGCUUACGACUCUCAUAGUCUAGCUCUCGGCUUAUGACUCUCACAAUCUGGCUCUCAGCUUACGACUUUCACAGUCUGGCUCCAACUUAUGACUCUCAUAUUCUGACUAUGACUUAUGAUUCCAAUCUCUCUUUUUUCAACCUCUUUAUCCUACUAAAAAGACGAUCCGUCCGACAGCGAAUUCCAAAGGUUAUGAUCCUUUGAAUUCUUAACCAUUUAUUCCUCUAACAACCUACUAUUACUAACUAAACUGCCUAACCAUCAAUCUAAUUUUUAAGGUUAUUAAUAACCAACCAGUAACUUACCACAAAAUUUAUUUAUCUAUUCUAUAUAGCUCCACUCCUAAUUGUGCAGCGUCCUCACAAAUAUUAUUUACAACUUAUAAAGACAUAACACUGUUGGCCUCUUUAGUCAAU
This 718-nucleotide long non-coding RNA is filed under the name Physcomitrium patens. Its description in RNAcentral is "long non-coding RNA (PPAT_LNC005232)". Lineage: Eukaryota; Viridiplantae; Streptophyta; Bryopsida; Funariales; Funariaceae. The record is from RNAcentral.